UACGAAGGGGGCUAGCGUUGCUCGGAAUCACUGGGCGUAAAGCGCACGUAGGCGGAUCUUUAAGUCAGGGGUGAAAUCCCAAGGCUCAACCUUGGAACUGCUUUUGAUACUGGGGAUCUCGAGUCCGGAAGAGGUGAGUGGAACUGCGAGUGUAGAGGUGAAAUUCGUAGAUAUUCGCAAGAACACCAGUGGCGAAGGCGGCUCACUGGUCCGGUACUGACGCUGAGGUGCGAAAGCGUGGGGAGCAAACAGG
RNAcentral lists this ribosomal RNA (253 nucleotides) under uncultured bacterium. Its description in RNAcentral is "partial 16S ribosomal RNA". It matches the Rfam family "Bacterial small subunit ribosomal RNA", at positions 524 to 776 of the family's 1533-position model. The record is from RNAcentral.